UGAGCUCAGAUGAUGAGCAAUUGCAUAGUUCAAAUGAUUACAUUUGUAACUACUAUGAUUACAUCUAGAGUCUUUCGCUCCUAACUGACGACUUUA
Molecule: non-coding RNA, 96 nt
Organism: Oryza glaberrima (African rice)
Lineage: Eukaryota; Viridiplantae; Streptophyta; Magnoliopsida; Poales; Poaceae
Source: Rfam